Sorex araneus (European shrew) is the source of this 627-nucleotide non-coding RNA. NCBI's taxonomy places the organism in Eukaryota, Metazoa, Chordata, Mammalia, Eulipotyphla, Soricidae. The record is from the annotation of a RefSeq genome assembly.
AUGACUGGAAGCAGAGGACUAUGUUUGAGAUCAUGGACCUCGUGGGCAGGAAAUCAUCAGCGCUGGUUCCUCUUUCUGGUGGCAGCUCCCGGAUGUGUCCUGUCCCAGGUACAGAUGGAGGAGUUGGGACCAAGCCUGGUGCUGCCCUCGAAGACGCUGUCCCUCACCUGCUCUGUCUCUGGAUUUUCUAUAAACAGUAAUCGUGUACAUUGGGUCCGCCAGCGUCCUGGAAUGGGGCUGGAUUGGAUUGGUGGUAUAGGGAGUACUGGAAUCAUAUACCAUAAACCAAGUCUUCAGUUCCGACUCAGCAUCUCCAGGGACACCUCCAAGAACCAAGUUUACCUAAAACUGAGCAACUCAGUAACUGAGGACACAGCCGUGUAUUUUUGUGCAGGAACCACAGUGAAGGAAAGUCCCUAUGAGCCCAGACACAAACUUGCUGAGACAGGGGAGCUGCGGGAUUUAUGUGACCAACAGGGGGCGCUCUGUUCUGGUACUUUAUGGCUGCUAUCCAGGAACAGGAACGUGCAUCAGCGCUGGUUCCUCCUCUUUCUGGUGGCAGCUCCCGGAUAUGAGUAUGCCCUGGACAGAGGCUCCAAGGUGGGCAUGGGGCCUCUGAGCGCAUGA